GACGAACGCUGGCGGCGUGCCUAAUACAUGCAAGUAGAACGCUGAAGGAGGAGCUUGCUUCUCUGGAUGAGUUGCGAACGGGUGAGUAACGCGUAGGUAACCUGCCUGGUAGCGGGGGAUAACUAUUGGAAACGAUAGCUAAUACCGCAUAAGAGUAGAUGUUGCAUGACAUUUGCUUAAAAGGUGCACUUGCAUCACUACCAGAUGGACCUGCGUUGUAUUAGCUAGUUGGUGGGGUAACGGCUCACCAAGGCGACGAUACAUAGCCGACCUGAGAGGGUGGUCGGCCACACUGGGACUGAGACACGGCCCAGACUCCUACGGGAGGCAGCCGUAGGGGAUCUUCGGCAAUGGACGGAAGUCUGACCGAGCAACGCCGCGUGAGUGAAGGAGGUUUUCGGAUCGUAAAGCUCUGUUGUAAGAGAAGAACGAGUGUGAGAGUGGAAAGUUCACACUGUGACGGUAUCUUACCAGAAAGGGACGGCUAACUACGUG
This 495-nucleotide ribosomal RNA is filed under the name uncultured bacterium. RNAcentral describes it as "partial 16S ribosomal RNA". It matches the Rfam family "Bacterial small subunit ribosomal RNA", at positions 28 to 507 of the family's 1533-position model. The record is from RNAcentral.